AGAGAGAGAAACUGCCUAGAACUUCCUGAAUAACAUAGUGUACCUGGAGGAGCCCCGCAGCACUUUGGGAGAUGAGUGUUCCCAAACUGAACCCGCUCACUGGGAGGUGCAGCCCAGCUGAGAGCGAAGUGCGCGGGGGGGCCCCUUCUCCAAAUAGAAAAGAGCCUUUCGAGAAAAGUCGGGUGGGGGGAUGGUAGGAAGGAAGGAAAGAAUGAAUACAUAAAAGAAGGAAUAUUAAAGAUCAGAGACAAAGUUAAAGAGGGGAAAGGGUUUUCUCGUUCCUUUCUUUUCCUGGUGACUUGGGCCCUCAGAAUCUCGUUGGAGAGACACGCAGAGUGCACGGACGCGUGCCCAAUUGCCAGCAAUUGCUUCGAAAACCCAGCUUGUCUCUCUUCGCUCUACUCUUAGGCACAGUCAAAACCGGUCAGGAGGAAAAGGGGGAAGUGGGACAGGGGCUCCGAUGGAGGGAAAUGAAAGAAGGGAACGUCCUCAUCCUCCCUCUGCAGCCUCUCCCCUGCUCUCUUUGGGCGAAUCGGAGAGGCGGGCGCUGCGCUGGGGAAAGUUUGUCUCACCCGCACCUCGCAGCGGGCUUCGAGGAGGGGAGGAGACGCGGGAAGUACAGCUCCGCGCCUGCGGCCGCGAGGACAACUGAGCUAGCGCCGCGCUUACCUCGCAGUCCUCGUACUUGAUAUUAUCCGUCAGUUUCCAAAGCAUUUUCAUGGAUCGGCGUGAAUGGAUUUGCCCCCUCUCCGCCUCGCACCCAAGUGGAGCUACUCUCUGGCCUAAUCGCCUCAUUAGCAUAUCAACAAUAGUCCAAUUGCUCGCCAGCACCACAAUCUGCCGCCGGCCGCUCCGACCCAGGUAUAAAGGCCUCUCCAAGCCGCAAACCUGCUCCUAGAGCGCGCUCCUGCCGGGGAUCCCACGAAAUCUCCCUUGAGCCCCGCCGCGCGGCCCUGCCCCGGCGCCCCCGCCCCCAUGCCACUCUUCUCUCUCCUCUCCUCUGCUCUCUUCUCCGUCUCCUCCUCGCCGGAGACGACCCGGCAAAAGCCCGGCACCGCGCAGGGUCCGAGCGACCGCGCCGGGGCCCAGCUUUCGGCACCUCUCCCUCAUCCCUGCCUCCACCAGCGGCUCUGUCCUUUCGGCUCCGUCCAAUCUUAUUAGAAAUUACUAUCCCUUUCGCAAUCAGAUGUAACCACCAAACGAAGACCGGCGAAGUCACGUCAGGAUUUUUGCCCAACAAGAGAUCGCCUCCGCUCCCCGGCAGCUGACACCUCCGGCCGCGGCGCCCUGGGACUUUUACUGGCUUCGCGCUUCCCAGCCCACCCCACCCCCCCAGGUUGGAGAUUUUGCCAGACGGCUUCAGUCGCCCGGCUGGGGUUUGGGAUCCUUUAAUUGCCGCGUGUAAAAUAAAAAGUGUACCCUGAAGAGGUUACUUGACA
Molecule: long non-coding RNA, 1439 nt
Organism: Aethalodelphis obliquidens (Pacific white-sided dolphin)
Lineage: Eukaryota; Metazoa; Chordata; Mammalia; Artiodactyla; Delphinidae
Exons: 2
Source: RefSeq, a predicted model, not a curated record